Molecule: long non-coding RNA, 251 nt
Filed under: Elaeis guineensis (African oil palm)
Lineage: Eukaryota; Viridiplantae; Streptophyta; Magnoliopsida; Arecales; Arecaceae
Description: long non-coding RNA (EGUI_LNC025659)
Source: RNAcentral
GCCUGAAGCAAGCCAAUAAUUUUAAUAUUUCUCUUUGCCACGGUGUAGCCCUCUUUGCUCUGUAUCAUGAUCUUAAUAUCAUUUAUGAACACCAGCUAUUGUUUAGGUUGCUGCCUUCUUGAACGAGCUCAGCCUAAGGGGUAUAUUUGGGGUCACCAAUGUGCACAUAAACUUGCCACUUCGUGUUGCCACGGGGGUUGCUUGAGAUGAACAAAGAUUAGUAGCAAAGUCUUGUCCCUUUUUUUUUUUUU